CUCGUAGGUGGCCAACUAAGUCAGACGUGAAAUCCCUCGGCUUAACCGGGGAACUGCGUCUGAUACUGGAUGGCUUGAGUUUGGGAGAGGGAUGCGGAAUUCCAGGUGUAGCGGUGAAAUGCGUAGAUAUCUGGAGGAACACCGGUGGCGAAGGCGGCAUCCUGGACCAACACUGACACUGAGGAGCGAAAGCCAGGGAGCAAACG
RNAcentral lists this ribosomal RNA (206 nucleotides) under uncultured bacterium. Its description in RNAcentral is "partial 16S ribosomal RNA". It matches the Rfam family "Bacterial small subunit ribosomal RNA", at positions 568 to 774 of the family's 1533-position model. The record is from RNAcentral.